RNAcentral lists this ribosomal RNA (250 nucleotides) under uncultured Nitrosomonas sp. Its description in RNAcentral is "partial 16S ribosomal RNA". It matches the Rfam family "Bacterial small subunit ribosomal RNA", at positions 524 to 773 of the family's 1533-position model. The record is from RNAcentral. Lineage: Bacteria; Pseudomonadati; Pseudomonadota; Betaproteobacteria; Nitrosomonadales; Nitrosomonadaceae.
UACGUAGGGUGCGAGCGUUAAUCGGAAUUACUGGGCGUAAAGGGUGCGCAGGCGGCUUUGUAAGUCAGAUGUGAAAUCCCCGGGCUUAACCUGGGAAUUGCGUUUGAAACUACAAGGCUAGAGUGUGGCAGAGGGAGGUGGAAUUCCAUGUGUAGCAGUGAAAUGCGUAGAGAUAUGGAAGAACAUCGAUGGCGAAGGCAGCCUCCUGGGUUAACACUGACGCUCAUGCACGAAAGCGUGGGGAGCAAAC